GCGGAGGGAUCAUUACUGAGUUUACGCUCUAUAACCCUUUGUGAACAUACCUAUAACUGUUGCUUCGGCGGGUAGGGUCUCCGUGACCCUCCCGGCCUCCCGCCCCCGGGCGGGUCGGCGCCCGCCGGAGGAUAACCAAACUCUGAUUUAACGACGUUUCUUCUGAGUGGUACAAGCAAAUAAUCAAAACUUUUAACAACGGAUCUCUUGGUUCUGGCAUCGAUGAAGAACGCAGCGAAAUGCGAUAAGUAAUGUGAAUUGCAGAAUUCAGUGAAUCAUCGAAUCUUUGAACGCACAUUGCGCCCGCCAGCAUUCUGGCGGGCAUGCCUGUUCGAGCGUCAUUUCAACCCUCAAGCUCUGCUUGGUGUUGGGGCCCUACAGCUGAUGUAGGCCCUCAAAGGUAGUGGCGGACCCUCCCGGAGCCUCCUUUGCGUAGUAACUUUACGUCUCGCACUGGGAUCCGGAGGGACUCUUGCCGUAAAACCCCCCAAUUUUCCAAAGGUUGACCUCGGAUCAGGUAGGAAUACCCGCUGAACUUAAGCAUAC
This 546-nucleotide ribosomal RNA is filed under the name Colletotrichum coffeanum. RNAcentral describes it as "eukaryotic LSU rRNA". The stretch from base 188 to 341 matches the Rfam family "5.8S ribosomal RNA". The record is from RNAcentral. Lineage: Eukaryota; Fungi; Ascomycota; Sordariomycetes; Glomerellales; Glomerellaceae.